CAUGCUCCCGGCCGCCAUGGCGGCCGCGGGAAUUCGAUUAGAGUUUGAUCAUGGCUCAGAUUGAACGCUGGCGGCAUGCCUAACACAUGCAAGUCGAACGGCAGCACAGUAAAGAUUUCGGUCUUUAUGGGGUGGCGAGUGGCGGACGGGUGAGUAACACGUAGGAAUCUGUCCUGGAGCGUGGGAUAACCCGAGGAAACUCGGGCUAAUACCACAUGAUAUCGAGAGAUCAAAAGCAGGGGACCGAAAGGCCUUGCGCUCUGGGGUGAGCCUACGUCGGAUUAGCUAGUUGGUGGGGUAAAAGCCUACCAAGGCGACGAUCCGUAGCUGGUCUGAGAGGAUGACCAGCCACACUGGGACUGAGACACGGCCCAGACUCCUACGGGAGGCAGCAGUGGGGAAUCUUGGACAAUGGGGGAAACCCUGAUCCAGCGAUGCCGCGUGUGUGAAGAAGGCCUUCGGGUUGUAAAGCACUUUAGGUGGGGAAGAAAGGUAACGAGCGAAUAACUCGUUGCUAUGACGGUACCCGCAGAAUAAGCACCGGCUAACUCUGUGCCAGCAGCCGCGGUAAUACGAAUCACUAGUGAAUUCGCGGCCGCCUGCAGGUCGACCAUAUGGGAGAGCUCCCCA
RNAcentral lists this ribosomal RNA (630 nucleotides) under uncultured Gammaproteobacteria bacterium. RNAcentral's name for it is "partial 16S ribosomal RNA". It matches the Rfam family "Bacterial small subunit ribosomal RNA", at positions 1 to 897 of the family's 1533-position model. Lineage: Bacteria; Pseudomonadati; Pseudomonadota; Gammaproteobacteria. The record is from RNAcentral.